Molecule: ribosomal RNA, 253 nt
Filed under: uncultured bacterium
Lineage: Bacteria
Description: partial 16S ribosomal RNA
Rfam family: Bacterial small subunit ribosomal RNA
Source: RNAcentral
UACGUAGGGCGCAAGCGUUGUCCGGAAUUAUUGGGCGUAAAGAGCUCGUAGGCGGUUUGUCGCGUCUGCUGUGAAAACGCGAGGCUUAACCUCGCGCCUGCAGUGGGUACGGGCAGACUAGAGUGUGGUAGGGGAGACUGGAAUUCCUGGUGUAGCGGUGGAAUGCGCAGAUAUCAGGAGGAACACCGAUGGCGAAGGCAGGUCUCUGGGUCAUUACUGACACUGAGAAGCGAAAGCAUGGGGAGCGAACAGG